This 337-nucleotide ribosomal RNA is filed under the name Staphylococcus aureus. RNAcentral describes it as "partial 23S ribosomal RNA". It matches the Rfam family "Bacterial large subunit ribosomal RNA", at positions 14 to 344 of the family's 2925-position model. The record is from RNAcentral. Lineage: Bacteria; Bacillati; Bacillota; Bacilli; Caryophanales; Staphylococcaceae.
AGGGCGCACGGUGGAUGCCUUGGCACUAGAAGCCGAUGAAGGACGUUACUAACGACGAUAUGCUUUGGGGAGCUGUAAGUAAGCUUUGAUCCAGAGAUUUCCGAAUGGGGAAACCCAGCAUGAGUUAUGUCAUGUUAUCGAUAUGUGAAUACAUAGCAUAUCAGAAGGCACACCCGGAGAACUGAAACAUCUUAGUACCCGGAGGAAGAGAAAGAAAAUUCGAUUCCCUUAGUAGCGGCGAGCGAAACGGGAAGAGCCCAAACCAACAAGCUUGCUUGUUGGGGUUGUAGGACACUCUAUACGGAGUUACAAAGGACGACAUUAGACGAAUCAUCUG